RNAcentral lists this long non-coding RNA (899 nucleotides) under Homo sapiens (human). RNAcentral's name for it is "long intergenic non-protein coding RNA 1582". Lineage: Eukaryota; Metazoa; Chordata; Mammalia; Primates; Hominidae. The record is from RNAcentral.
GGGCCGCCCUCGUUCCUCCCGGAGCGCAGCGACAGCUCCUCCCCGCGUCUCGGGUUUCAAUGGCUGGGCCUGCCCGAAAGCUCUGGGCCCCCGCGUCCCAAUUUUUUCUUUAUUUUUGAAGGAUAAUAUUGCUGGACAUAGAAUUCUUUGUUGACAUUGGUCAGCUCUUUGAAUAUGUCAUCCAGUAUCUUCUGGCCUCCGUGGUUUAUGGUUUUGGCAGAGUUCAAAGACUGGGAAGCAAAGUUCAGCCAUGUUGGGCCUUUGGGCUCAUAGAUGAGCAAGGGUACCCCAAUAUGAGGGCUCAGCAAAUUCUGGAACUUAUCAGUUCUGAAGACCUUUAGAGGAGAAGGAGACAAGUAAAAGGGUUGGCCUUGCGUAUUGGCAAUGAAACAGGCUAUUUUUGACAUUGAGUUGUCCAGCAUUCUCUAAGGUAUGUAGUCCUGGAGGGCGCUGCUUAAUGAACCAGAAGUCCUGCCUCUUAAGUACCUCACCAGCUCAAAUGUGUGCAUGUCACCUUGGCGUGAAUCGGAGCAGGCGCUGGUGGAUACCGUUUGGAGGCAUGCCAGCAAGGAGCUCCUUGUGUAGCCUGCCUCUGGAGCCUCAAGUUCAACUUCCAUAGGGCCAAAAGGGGAGUCGGGCUGGGCAGAAGCUCCUGAGAACCAAAGCAAAUGGUCUGAGAGUCUGAGAGUGUAGUGGAGGUAACGUGUUCGUGUCCUCUCUGGCUGCAUCACCCCAAGUCCUUGCAGACUCAAGUAGCCUAUUUGCAAGUUUAAAUAGUUUGAGUCCUGGCCGGUAACAAGAAUACUCUACAGUGGCCCAGAGUCAGGGAUAUAGAGUGGCGACUACUUGGCAGAACUGGAGCUUGCUCAGAUGAAAAGAUAAAUUGUACUGGUUAAACG